GAUGAACGCUGGCGGCGUGCCUAAUACAUGCAAGUCGAGCGAACAGACGAGGAGCUUGCUCCUCUGACGUUAGCGGCGGACGGGUGAGUAACACGUGGAUAACCUACCUAUAAGACUGGGAUAACUUCGCGAAACCGGAGCUAAUACCGGAUAACAUGUUGAACCGCAUGGUUCAACCGUGAAAUACGGUCUUGGUGUCACUUAUAGAUUGAUCCGCGCCGCAUUAGCUAGUUGGUAAGGUAACGGCUUAGCAAGGCAACGAUGCGUAACCGACCUGAGAGGGUGGUCGGCCACACUGGAACUGAGACACGGUCCAGACUCCUACGGGAGGCAGCAGUAGGGAAUCUUACGCAAUGGGCGAAAGCCUGAUGGAGCAACGCCGCGUGAGUGAAGAAGGUCUUAGGAUCGUAAAACUCUGUUAUUAGGAAAGAACAAAUGUGUAAGUAACUGUGCACGUAUUGACGGUACCGAGACAGAAAGCCACGGCUAACUACGUG
This 497-nucleotide ribosomal RNA is filed under the name uncultured bacterium. Its description in RNAcentral is "partial 16S ribosomal RNA". It matches the Rfam family "Bacterial small subunit ribosomal RNA", at positions 28 to 507 of the family's 1533-position model. The record is from RNAcentral.